This 301-nucleotide ribosomal RNA is filed under the name uncultured bacterium. Its description in RNAcentral is "partial 16S ribosomal RNA". It matches the Rfam family "Bacterial small subunit ribosomal RNA", at positions 509 to 807 of the family's 1533-position model. The record is from RNAcentral.
CAGCCGCCGCGGUAAUACGAAGGGUGCAAGCGUUACUCGGAAUUACUGGGCGUAAAGCGUGCGUAGGUGGUGGUUUAAGUCCGUUGUGAAAGCCCUGGGCUCAACCUGGGAAUUGCAGUGGAUACUGGGUCACUAGAGUGUGGUAGAGGAUAGUGGAAUUUCCGGUGUAGCAGUGAAAUGCGUAGAGAUCGGAAGGAACAUCUGUGGCGAAGGCGACUACCUGGGCCAACACUGACACUGAGGCACGAAAGCGUGGGGAGCAAACAGGAUUAGAUACCCCUGUAGUCCCUGUCUCUUAUAC